CCAAUAGCGUAUAUUAAAGUUGUUGCAGUUAAAAAGCUCGUAGUUGAAUUUCGGGAUCAAAGGAUCGGUCAUGCCUUGGUAUGUACUGGUUUUAUUGGUUCUCACCUUCUAAAGAACCAUAAUGUCAUUCAUUUGAUGUUAUGGGGAAUUAGGACUGUUACCUUGAAAAAAUUAGAGUGUUUAAAGCAGGAUUACGCUUGAAUACAUUAGCAUGGAAGAAUGAAAUAGGACAUCAGAUUCUAUUUUGUUGGUUUCUAGGAUCGAUGUAAUGAUUAAUAGGGAUAGUUGUGGGCAUUAGUAUUCAAUUGUCAGAGGUGAAAUUCUUGGAUUGAUUGAAGACUAACUACUGCGAAAGCAUUUGCCAAGGAUGUUUUCAUUAAUCAAGAACGAAAGUUAGGGGAUCGAAGACGAUCAGAUACCGUCGUAGUCUUAACCAUAAACUAUGCCGACUAGGGAUCGGAUGAUGUUAAUUUUAUAAUGACUCAUUCGGCACCUUACG
RNAcentral lists this ribosomal RNA (499 nucleotides) under uncultured Glomus. RNAcentral's name for it is "SSU rRNA". It matches the Rfam family "Eukaryotic small subunit ribosomal RNA", at positions 591 to 1092 of the family's 1831-position model. The record is from RNAcentral. Lineage: Eukaryota; Fungi; Glomeromycota; Glomeromycetes; Glomerales; Glomeraceae.